Molecule: long non-coding RNA, 3664 nt
Organism: Canis lupus familiaris (dog)
Lineage: Eukaryota; Metazoa; Chordata; Mammalia; Carnivora; Canidae
Exons: 5
Source: RefSeq, a predicted model, not a curated record
CUUCUCAGUCUGGCGUGGGUGAAAGAGACAAAACAGAUCAUUCCAGGGCAAGGCUGUCAUUGCUGGGAGAGUGUUGCGUACAGGACCACAGGACAUGAAUCGCUCUGGUUGUACAUGUGAGAACAGAUAACAUCAAGUGAAAAACAGAGGCACAGCUUAUUAGGGAGCUGGUAACCUACAGUGUACAAAGCACCGGCUUGGGUGACCAUGACCUACACACUGGCGGAGGCACCAUAAUUUAAGUACUAGAACCAAUGUACAGCUCCUAAAAUAUACUAGUCAUGCAAUGGCUGUCACUAUUGUCACUAUCUGAUGAAAAUGUGAAAUGUGAAGCCUCUCCUAGACCUCUGGCACAGCAUCCCUUCCUCACCAGCCCUGAAUCAUCUACCCUCAUGAACAGAGAGAGCAGCACUCCGACAAGCGCGUAGCAUUUUCACCGAAGACACUCUGACCUUCCCUGAAGUCUGCUGAUAGGCUAAAGGCAUAGAACACAUAGGCAGAUCAUAGCGCAGAGCAUUCAAAGAAGAAACAGGAAGCUCUGGGACUUCACAAAGUAAGUUACUUACUUUAGAACCAGAUAUAUUGAAGACAUUCACCCCAGAGAAGAGCAGCAGGACAAAGUCUGGUACAGAGAUUUGGGAAACUCAAAUUACCUACCCUCAGAACAGAAACACCCUAAGCCAGCUGGGACACCGAAGUAAAACAAUCAUCCAAAAGCACUCAGAGGACAUCAUGUGUGAAAGCAUUUUCCAACCUUAAAAUACUGUCAUUUUUAAAAAAAAUAUUUUAUUUAUUCAUUCAUGAGAGAGGCAGAGGGAGAAGCAGGCUCCAUGCAGGAAGCCUGAUGUGGAACUUGAUCCCAAACUCCAGGAUCAUGCCCUGAGCCGAAGGCAGAUGCUUAACUGCUAAGCCACCCAGGUGCCCCUAAAAUACUGUAAUUUUUAACGUCAUUCUUUCCCCAAACAGUCCAGGGCUGUACUAUAAAUGCCUUGAGAUCCAGAGUUAUAUGUGUGUUAUUUACCAUGAAAUAGCCAGAAUUAUUAGCUACCCAGGAAGUAUUUUUUAAUUGAAUAAAACAAAAAAUGAAACAUCUUCCAUGGACACUGGUGGCUGAAUUUAAAGCUUCUUCCUGGCACUCUAAAAGACCUGAACAGAAAAAAAAAAAAAAAAUCAUAAAGCAUUUAGAGCACCAUCAGCCUCACACAAGGGAAGAAUAUGGGAAUGGGUUAUCUGGAGGAAUUGCCCUUCAUUGCCAAGGAUGAUGAAUGGCAAGGCUUUGGGAAGAUCAGAUAACCUGAACCAAUAUGUGAAGGUUCAUUAACGAGCCCAUGGUCCCACUGGCACAGCGUCACAUGUCACGGGGGAUGUCACAGGUCAUGAAACAUAGGCACUUGCAAUUUCCCACUGGGGUGGUAUUUAUCUUGAAUUAUUUACCACCAGAUUUCCUGACAGUGGGAAUAGGCCAAUAAAGUGGUUUUUCUAAGAGGGUGGGGGUCCUCAAGUUGUAAUUAAUCCAUCUCUAAAAGAUUGAAUGGAUCUUACAGAGCCACAGUCCAUAAAUUACCACAAUUAGCCUCUUUAUGGCAUCAUGCAAGUUUCAUGGCAUGAGAAACCACAUUUCCAGAAAGAACAGUGAGUGGAAAACACUUUGGAAUAGAUUGCCUCUGAUUCCUGUAAGGUGGCAUUUCUUUCAGGCUACAUUAGCUCCAAUCAUUAGGGUGAAUACUAUCCAUUGGAGAAAUGGAUGACGGAAUUUUAAAGAAGGCAAAAGUGAGAUGGCUCUUCAUCAAAAAGUACGUCCUAGCCCCAGAAACCAUACAUAGGGAAACCGGCUAUGUGAGAAAUAAUUACAAUUUGAAUGGGUAGACUCAAUAACUCAUGACCUCUCAAAGAUUGUCUCGUCACCUUUGGGAUGGAGUCCAAACUCCUCAGCUUGAUGGGGACUGUAGGCCUCUCAUAAGCUGGCUCCCGGCUCCUUCUCCAGCUUUCUGUCUCAGGCUCCCCACUUAAAUACUGCACCCUGGGUUAUACAGAACUAUCUGCAAUUCUCAAUACACACCAUGUUUAAUGGUAGCGAGCGCUUUCUCUUCCAGUUCCCUGUGCCCGGAAUUCUUUCUUUCCCUUCCUGCUGGGCACAACUGAACCUAUAAUGAUUCUGUUAGAAUGCUGGCCCCCUGCCCCCCCAUAGAACUUUUCCAGAUGAUCUCAGGCAUGGCAGCUCGAUCCCUGGCUCUUGCUACCAAUUGUCUCAGUGCACCUGUCUUCUAAUGCCAGGUCCCCUGCACUGCCACUGUGAGUGUCCUUAUCUGUCUCCACAAUCCAGCCAUGAACUCUUUUAUGACAAGGACACUGUCUCAUUCCUCCCCACCCACCCACCCCCUUUUUUUUGAAGCCUGCCAGAGGGACAGGAACAGGAUGGGCACUCUCACAAUAUGGUUUUGAUAAAGACUGGGGAUGCCACAGAUCCCAGAAACUCUCAAAUAAUGCAUAUCAAUAAAACAGAUACAAAUUCCAGAUUGGAUAUGAACCCAUAGGGCUAUUUUGCCAUAUGACAGAAUGAUAAAAGCUGCCGUAGAAAUAUUGAUCUCAAGGUUUGAGCUGGUCACUAUAGCUGAGAAAUGUACAAGGUAUUACAUACUGAAGUAGUUACAUGUCUGUGGGUGACGUGGUCCUCCUGUCUGGAACCUUCCCCACCCCUAAGUGUCACGUUUCAUCUGUAAGGCUAUGGCCAGGUCACCCACCAGCAAUUCUGUGAGGUUUUUGAUGUUAGCUUCAAGAGGACCUCAUCUCAGCUUUCUUUGAGUUUGUACAGCACUUUAUUGUUUUUGUCUUAUAGCAUUUUUAACUAUUUCCUGUAUAUUGUAAUUAUUUAUGUAAUUUUUUAUUAAUUCACAUAAAUUACUAAGACUGAUGUUUUGUACUAAAUUUGAACUUACUAAGGGAGGCAUUCUAUAUACUCUGGAUAUGGAUAUCUAGUCUACCUGCUUCUGGAUAUCUAUUACUACAUAACAAAUAACCCUCAAAAUUGCUUAAAACAACAAUUAUUUAUUCCUCAUAGUUUCAGGGGGCCAGGGAACUGGGAACUGCUCAACUGAGCAGCUCUGACUUGGAGUUUCCCAUACAGACACAGGCAAAUAGUGGCCAGAGCUCGGACAAGAGGAAGCUAAGGCAUCUGAGGGCUGACUGGGAUCUCUUCUCUUCAUGUACCCUUAGUAUCUCGCCAUAUGUUUUAUGCACGUGAGCCUGUUUGGGCUUCCUCACAAGAUGGCAGCCUCAGACUUCUUAAAUGUCAGGUCAAUGUUUCCAAAGCAAGUGUUCUAAGAGGGCCAGAAGCUGCAUUGCUUUUGUGACCUAGUCUUAGAAAUCACAAUAUUAACUAAUAUUCUAUUAGUUAAUUUAGUCAGAAAAGUGUAAGUUUAAGAGGGAAGAUAUACACUCCACCUCUUGACAGGGGAGAAGGAAAGUUCUGGAAGUGUACACGGGACAGGAAAUAUGAUAGUGGUCAUUUUUAGAACAUGCAACCUGUUUCAUGCAAGCAUAGUUUUUAAGAAUAUUUUGUUUAUUUGUUAGAGAGAGUGAGAGAACAAGAAAGACAGAGAGAGAGAGAGCAAGAGAGAGAGCACAAGCAGGAGGAAGGCAGAGGGAGAAGGAGAAGCAGAUGCCC